This 301-nucleotide ribosomal RNA is filed under the name uncultured bacterium. RNAcentral's name for it is "partial 16S ribosomal RNA". It matches the Rfam family "Bacterial small subunit ribosomal RNA", at positions 509 to 807 of the family's 1533-position model. The record is from RNAcentral.
CAGUAGCCGCGGGAAUACGAAGGGGGCUAGCGUUGUUCGGAUUUACUGGGCGUAAAGGGUGCGUAGGCGGAUUGUUAAGUCAGGGGUGAAAUCCCGAGGCUCAACCUCGGAACUGCCUUUGAUACUGGCGAUCUUGAGUCCGGGAGAGGUGAGUGGAACUGCGAGUGUAGAGGUGAAAUUCGUAGAUAUUCGCAAGAACACCGGUGGCGAAGGCGGCUCACUGGCCCGGUACUGACGCUGAGGCACGAAAGCGUGGGGAGCAAACAGGAUUAGAUACCCCGGUAGUCCCUGUCUCUUAUAC